ACCAAAGAAAGGUAGAGAAGGAGGAAAGAGAGAAUGGCAGCCUCAGUUAUGGCUUCGGUGAGCUUGAAACCAUCUACUUUCAGGGUUGAAAAAUCUUCAGUGAGAGGUCUUCCAACUCUCUCAAGGAGAAGUUUCAGAGUCGAGGCCAGUGCUCGCAAGAAGUUAAACACUGAUAAGCCAUAUGGAAUCAGUGGUGGCAUGAACCUCAGGAAUGGCGCUGAUGCCUCUGGAAGGAAGGCUAAGGGAAAGGGUGUAUACCAAUUUGUUGACAAAUAUGGAGCCAACGUGGAUGGAUACAGCCCUAUCUACGACACAAGGGACUGGUCUCCAAGUGGUGAUGUUUAUGUUGGGGGAACUACAGGUUUGGCAAUAUGGGCAGUGACACUAGCUGGGCUUCUUGCAGGAGGAGCUCUUCUUGUUUACAAUACAAGUGCUUUGGUACAGUAGCUUACUUCUAUUUUGGUUUUUGUUAAUUAUGUAUAAUUUUAUCUCCUCAACAAACUUCCCAAAACCAAUACCUUGUGCAUCCCUAUUUGUAAUUUCCUAUUUCCUAUGGACUUGG
This 562-nucleotide unclassified non-coding RNA is filed under the name Hevea brasiliensis (rubber tree). Lineage: Eukaryota; Viridiplantae; Streptophyta; Magnoliopsida; Malpighiales; Euphorbiaceae. The record is from RNAcentral.